UAACGGCGUCGAGCGGCGGACGGGUGAGUAAUGCCUAGGAAAUUGCCCUGAUGUGGGGGAUAACCAUUGGAAACGAUGGCUAAUACCGCAUGAUGCCUACGGGCCAAAGAGGGGGACCUUCGGGCCUCUCGCGUCAGGAUAUGCCUAGGUGGGAUUAGCUAGUUGGUGAGGUAAGGGCUCACCAAGGCGACGAUCCCUAGCUGGUCUGAGAGGAUGAUCAGCCACACUGGAACUGAGACACGGUCCAGACUCCUACGGGAGGCAGCAGUGGGGAAUAUUGCACAAUGGGCGCAAGCCUGAUGCAGCCAUGCCGCGUGUGUGAAGAAGGCCUUCGGGUUGUAAAGCACUUUCAGUCGUGAGGAAGGUAGUGUAGUUAAUAGCUGCAUUAUUUGACGUUAGCGACAGAAGAAGCACCGGCUAACUCCGUGCCAGCAGCCGCGGUAAUACGGAGGGUGCGAGCGUUAAUCGGAAUUACUGGGCGUAAAGCGCAUGCAGGUGGUUUGUUAAGUCAGAUGUGAAAGCCCGGGGCUCAACCUCGGAAUAGCAUUUGAAACUGGCAGACUAGAGUACUGUAGAGGGGGGUAGAAUUUCAGGUGUAGCGGUGAAAUGCGUAGAGAUCUGAAGGAAUACCGGUGGCGAAGGCGGCCCCCUGGACAGAUACUGACACUCAGAUGCGAAAGCGUGGGGAGCAAACAGGAUUAGAUACCCUGGUAGUCCACGCCGUAAACGAUGUCUACUUGGAGGUUGUGGCCUUGAGCCGUGGCUUUCGGAGCUAACGCGUUAAGUAGACCGCCUGGGGAGUACGGUCGCAAGAUUAAAACUCAAAUGAAUUGACGGGGGCCCGCACAAGCGGUGGAGCAUGUGGUUUAAUUCGAUGCAACGCGAAGAACCUUACCUACUCUUGACAUCCAGAGAACUUUCCAGAGAUGGAUUGGUGCCUUCGGGAACUCUGAGACAGGUGCUGCAUGGCUGUCGUCAGCUCGUGUUGUGAAAUGUUGGGUUAAGUCCCGCAACGAGCGCAACCCUUAUCCUUGUUUGCCAGCGAGUAAUGUCGGGAACUCCAGGGAGACUGCCGGUGAUAAACCGGAGGAAGGUGGGGACGACGUCAAGUCAUCAUGGCCCUUACGAGUAGGGCUACACACGUGCUACAAUGGCGCAUACAGAGGGCGGCCAACUUGCGAAAGUGAGCGAAUCCCAAAAAGUGCGUCGUAGUCCGGAUUGGAGUCUGCAACUCGACUCCAUGAAGUCGGAAUCGCUAGUAAUCGUGGAUCAGAAUGCCACGGUGAAUACGUUCCCGGGCCUUGUACACACCGCCCGUCACACCAUGGGAGUGG
RNAcentral lists this ribosomal RNA (1334 nucleotides) under Vibrio neocaledonicus. Its description in RNAcentral is "bacterial SSU rRNA". It matches the Rfam family "Bacterial small subunit ribosomal RNA", at positions 83 to 1413 of the family's 1533-position model. The record is from RNAcentral. Lineage: Bacteria; Pseudomonadati; Pseudomonadota; Gammaproteobacteria; Vibrionales; Vibrionaceae.